ACUCCACUAAUGGCAGAUUGCAUGUGCAAGGCUUCUCCUUCCUUUGGACUGCACGGCACUCCUUCUUUCUCCGCCUUUAGUGGCUGCACAAGGUGGAUGAAUGGUUAUGGAAGGAUGUAGGAAUGGUUUGGGGAAGAGGAUAGUGCGGCAAGGUUGAAUUUGGGCAGAAAGUUGGGAGUUUGGGGAUGGAAGGCUGCGGCAAAGUGGGAAAUAGGGUUUUGGACGAAUUUCUGAAUAUGGAGAGGGUGUUCUUCGGCCAAGGGAGGUAAAACACAUAUAUAUAGGCAGCCAAACCCUAAAGAAAUCAGGUUAGACAAAUGGGCUAGGGUUUAGGUGCGGCUAGGGUUAGGAAAUCCACCAAAAACUAGGGUUUCUAGAACAUUAGGUGCGGCAUGGGCUUAGGGUAAGUAAUCAGAUUUUUUUCAUGUGAACAAGGCCUAGGUGCGGCUGAUUAAGUGGGCUAGGGUUAGGGUUAGGUGCGGCAUAGGUCCAAGAGGCAAAGAUGGGUCAUCCAAAAGCCCAAAGCCAAGAAUAGAAACUCUCGAAAAUGGAAACCUCCAAGAAUAGAAACUUCCAACUUUAGAAACUUUAGUUGCCAAUUCCGACUUCUUUGUUCUUUACUUUCAUUUCUUCAUUUCUUAAGCUCCCUCGACCUUCAAACUCGUCCAUUCCUUGUUCCAAGCAUGUACUUUUCAAUCCAAGCUCACUUUUGCUCUAAAAUGCUCCAUUUUGCCAUCUUUUAUGUCAUAUGCCCUUUGAACCUGAAAACACAUGAAAGUAGCUCAAAAGACUAAUUUAACUAAGAAAACAUAACGAAAAUGCAUAAGAACUAGCUAACUAAGGCGCAUAAAUAUGCUCCUAUCAGUCAUCUAAUUUAGGGGUUAAUAUGAGUAUAUAUAGGCACUUAAAACCCUAGGGGAAUCAGAUAUGGACUUGAAAAACCCAAAUCCACAAGGAAUUAGGUUAAAACAAUCAGAAAUCCUAAGGGAUAAGGAAUAGGGGUGCGGCAGGAUUUAUGGGACAUGGAUAGGCCUUCUAGAAUGCCUUGCAAGGCAAGGAAUUAGGGCAUCUAGAAGCUAGGGUGCGGCACCAAAGUAGGGAUUAAGGAUAGGGUUUCUAGAAAGCCCCAAAACUGAUAGGAAUUGCAUGAAACCCACGGCAAGGAUGGAAACUUUCUAGAAACUUCUCAUUUGUGUCCUACAACACUUAGGAGUCCUUCUAGCAUUAGGAAAACAUGUCUCAAUCCUCUCUUGACUUGGAAUUCUUCUUCUACUUCAUCUUGGAAACCUUUCCUUCUUGGACUUGGAAAUCUUCUUUGUAGCUG
RNAcentral lists this long non-coding RNA (1324 nucleotides) under Malus domestica (apple). Its description in RNAcentral is "long non-coding RNA (MDOM_LNC021052)". Lineage: Eukaryota; Viridiplantae; Streptophyta; Magnoliopsida; Rosales; Rosaceae. The record is from RNAcentral.